CUCGACUGGUUACAGUAUUUCAGUUGUACCAAGAAUAUGCAAUCACUCUUUAGUAAAGAGUUGCUCUAGGUUAAGGAUGGGGUUGGACCCAAUAACUAUUAGAUAAGGGACCUAAUAAUGGCCUUGCACCUGCUUGUGAAUGGUGGGUCGGACUUAACUAAGGAGUGUGGUCAAUAACUGUUAGGUGAGCUCACACGACUUAGAGACCAAGUCACUGCAAC
This 221-nucleotide long non-coding RNA is filed under the name Elaeis guineensis (African oil palm). RNAcentral's name for it is "long non-coding RNA (EGUI_LNC050153)". The record is from RNAcentral. Lineage: Eukaryota; Viridiplantae; Streptophyta; Magnoliopsida; Arecales; Arecaceae.